ACACCUUGUAGAGUCCAUGCCCCGACGAAUUGAAGCUGUUUUGAGGGCAACAGGGCGGGGUACAACUCAAUAUUAGGAAGGUGUUCUUAAUGUUUUGCACACAGUGUAUAAUUGUUUGUUUGACUAUAAUUGAUUUCAAUUAAAUGAGCCAAAAAUAAACAAAAUCAGUGUUUGUGCAAACCACAAUAUGGAACAAAUGGAUCCUUUGCCAUUUUCUUAUGUCAGUAGCAUUUGAAUUGUUGUGUACAAGGAAUUACAUUUGUGGUUCUGAUGAUGUUAGACAGUUCUACUAAUCUCUGGUCCUCAAUAGUACAAUAUGACACAGGUUGUGUCAUAUUCUGCCACCGCAGCCCAAAGGACCCACUGGGCACACACUGGUUGAAUCAACAUUGUUUCCACGUCAUUUCAAUGAAAUUACGCUGAACCAACGUGGAAUAGACGUUGAAUUGCCCAGUGGGGAAGUUAUCAGAGGGAUACUAGCUUAACUAAUACGGCAGAAGGUAGAGCUGUUGGGCUCUGCGGGGCAUGUGAGGACAUGAAAAAGACACCCAUGAUUCAACAUAACAUGGUAGAGUCUGGGGAAAUGACCGUUUUUAGCAAUGAACAUCAAACCACAGACAGACAGCUCCCUGUUUUCAUCUGCAGCAUGCCACCAAGCCCAUCAUACAGGAAACUGUUUCCCUGACUGGUACACUGGCACGAAAGGACAUUUGCAUGAGACAGAAAACAAAGAGAUGACUAAUAGAGAGAGACAGCAAGAGAGAGAGGGAGAUGUAGUGAUGCAAAGUAAAGGAGUGAUGGACAUUUCAGAAGCUAGACCGAGAAAUAGUUGUUCCAUUUCUGCAGAGAACCCGCCUGAAUAGAUGCACAACGUUCAGGUCAACACGUUUUGAACAUGUCCGUGCCUGAAGUGUUCUGUGCUUACUGUGCUCUACGAUGGCGACACCUGCUCCUGUCUCCGAGCUGCCACGGGCUACUCUGAAGGAGCAUUUCACACACAUGGUUGGACAUUUCACUGGUACCUGACUCAGAACGUACCAGAUGGCUUUCAUCUCAUCCCCAAGGGCCAUCUGGAGAACGCCGACAGGCAAGACACCGCGGAUACCAUGGUUAACUCCCACGGCCACGAUGGAGCUAUGACGAUCUCCCUGGAAAUCAUGAAGAUGAAUCAGAAGUGAAUGGCAGAUCACCAAGGCUGAGAUUGAUGGAGCAGCUGCCUCAAUUCCGGUUCCUGCCUCUCCUGUCUACCUCACCUGUACAUCUCAGACUGGCGGCCAUGUUGUGGCCCCUUCACACCCCGGCUGUUAUGUUGAUGGUCCAAUUCACUUCAACAUCAGAGUCAACUCCAUAGAUGAGCCCGUCGUUUAAUCUAAAGCCUCACCUGCCUGUCUCACCAUGUUUCAACCUGUUCCUGUAAAGACUGAGGACAACGGUAAGACAGAUAGAAUGGGGUGUUUGGCAGUCUUACUGUAGAUCUGUAUGGAGAAGGUUGUUCGGGCAGUGGUAAGAACAGGGAAACGCUUUGGAACUGAAGUUGAUUUUGGUAUGAGGAACCACAAGAUUGCAACGUUGUCCAGUAACCUGUAUUUAGAGAGCGCAAGAUCAAACAGCCCUUGUCGUGGCAAUUUCCUGUAUUACCAAAUGAGGAGAGUUACAAACCACACACCAGUCAGAGUUAUACUUAAACUUCAUCUUUAAUAAUAUGAGCUUUACCAUAGCCCUUUUGAUUCUCAGAUCAAUUCUGUGUCAAUAAUGAAUUCUGAGAGUGCCUACAGAAGAAUACAAAGAUCUUCUAUAGCUAAGAUACACCCCUCUCAACUUACAUGACGAACCACAGAUCUUAGGGACAGUUCACAAAGAAAGACUUUUACUUGAGAGAGGAGUAUUCCAUAGCCAGAUAGCAUUCGCUAUAAAUUAUCGUUUAGUUUGGUCUCUAAGACGAAGUUCAAAUCUCGUUCCUGGUACUUCAUAGUACAAAAACAUUACCUCAUCCAAGGCAUGACUCAAUUGUCAAUUCUAGAUACUCCCAUCUCAAGUAAACCCCCUCUUGACCCCACUCCUGGACAAGCUCACUGAGGGGAGUGACUUGCGCACAGACAUUGUAGAGACAAGUAAUUAGUUCCUCUUUAAUCACGCCAUCCCUUCACAUGGUUUAACAAAUACAUUCACAUAUGAAGACAAUGUUCCAUCCUGUUCUCUUCCCUUUCUGAUAUUCUGCAUAGCACCAGUGACAUACUAAAGACAAGCCUGACCUCUCCCCUCUCUGGGCCCCAAAUGACUGAGCCCCAAAUGACUGAGCCCCAAGUGGCUGAGCCCCAGCUGAGAAAAAAGUGCAACUGCCAACACUAUAGUCCAAAAGGAUACAUUCUAAUGACAAGUAUCUCACAUAAGCAUAUUAUGUAAAUAAAACAUAUUAUUAUUAUUUAUCUAUGUUACCCAACUUAUUCUGAUUCAUCCGCCACACCCUAAACCUGAAUGAUUAUACUGCGUUCUCGAAACAGUUUCAGUUUGAGUGGAAUAUGUACAGGAUAAUCCACAGAACCAUCUAUUUUACAAACAGGAACCUUUUUGUACUGUGUUUGUCACUUGUUUAUUUUACCAGAUGAGCGAAUCUAGAGGUGCCAUCUUUUGUAUUAUUAUUAUUUAAAAAUAUAUAUUUUAACCCAUCAGGGAUGACACACGUUUUAACAUUUUUUAUUUAUUUACAGCUUUUCUGCUACAUGUACACACAUUUUACAUACACAUACACAUUUUACAUACACAUACACAUUUUACAUACAUGGAGAGGUGCCAACUAAAACUCAAACUCAAUCUGAAAAGGAGGUUCUACUGUGUGUUUGAAGCCUGUUUUGCAUGUCACAUACCUGUCACAUAUCAGUUUGCAAACAAUGUCUGAAAAAAAAUAAUUGAGUUAAUAAA
This is a non-coding RNA of Oncorhynchus mykiss (rainbow trout), 2919 nucleotides long. Lineage: Eukaryota; Metazoa; Chordata; Actinopteri; Salmoniformes; Salmonidae. The record is from RefSeq and is a predicted model, not a curated record.